UUAUUGUUGUUGUUGAAGAUGUUGUUGCUCUGUGUCUUUACAGGUAUUUGGAAGAGUGAUAACUAUUUCAUAGGGUGUCCGUGUGACUAAGGAGAAGACAAUACCACUUUGCUCUUGGCAAGAGCUGCUGGCAGAGAUUCAUGUCUCCGAGGAAGAAGCCAUUGUGACCUACUGCCCAGGCCGCAUGUCAGGAGCAUCUGGGUACCACAUGCUCUAUCACGUUGCAAAGUUUAGGAUCCUACAGUGAAUCUCAGCUUUCUGAUCUGUAAAAUGGAGAGAAGAACGGUACCUCGCUCCCAGGGCUGCCGUGAGGAUCUGGGGAAAGAUUCCCGAAAACCACUGAGCACAAUGCGUGGCACUUAGUAAAGGCUCAGCCGCUGUGAUGGGCUCUUGGCUGUCUGCUGGGGCACCUGCGAGGCGGCUUGGAAUACUCAGAACUGUUGGGAUUCGCACUGAGGGGAAGGGGAAGCGUAUUUCUGAAGCCUACACAUCUCUCGCUUAGUAUGAUAUUUUCUGUUUCUAUGGCUCAUGCUUUUGAAACCAACGGUGGACAUUUCUUUCACUUUUCCUGAAGGCCAGCAGGAAAGGGCCUCCUAGGGGAGUCUGUGCAGCUUUCUGAGGUAGAGUGCAACCUUUCCCAUUUGGUGGGAGGUCGGCCUCCAGACACAGGCCCCUCAAAGUCCUCCACAUCAGCCUGAGGAGCGGGCCCCCUCCUUCCCAUGGCCCCUGUGGG
Neogale vison (American mink) is the source of this 733-nucleotide long non-coding RNA. RefSeq lists it as uncharacterized. NCBI's taxonomy places the organism in Eukaryota, Metazoa, Chordata, Mammalia, Carnivora, Mustelidae. The record is from RefSeq and is a predicted model, not a curated record. The transcript is spliced from 3 exons.